ACGCUCCUCUCUGCCUUUUUAAAUGCCAUGCCUCCUUGCUUCGGAUGGCCAUUCCAAGCAGCUCCCCUUCUCCAUUGCUCUCACAUUAGCCGCGCUUCCCAAGCAUGUGUUCGUCCGCGUCCCGUAGUAGUUCAACACCACCUACGUCUCACCACACGAGCAAUCAGAUGCCUCCACUCCCUCUCAUCCGUUGCCCCGAAUGCAACGCCGGCUACGUCGUCUGGUUUGUCUCCGGUACAGAACUUAACCCAGGGAGGCACUUCUACAAGUGUGAACGGAAUGAGCACGGAGGUUGCAGGUUCUGGAAGUGGGAGAACAAGUACAUACAGUACUUGAGCGAGCGAUGGGGACAUCUGAUCUCGCACGCGAGCGUCCAUCGCCAUGUCGCACUGCUCGAGCAGAACCAAGCAUUCUUGAAGAAGAUUUUCAUGUUGUGCCUCGCGAAUUUGGUGGUCAUGGUCACUAUCUCCAUCCACAAGUUAUGAAGUAUCAUCCGCCCUGCGCACGGACAUGGGCACGGCUAGCGCACUGCUGUAGUAUCAAAUUUAGUGUAUCCGUUACGCGUAGGUACUGCCGUUUCUUUUUGUAUGUUCUAGUAUCCCAUGCGUAUGUGCAUGUAUAGGUUACAACGUUUUAGCGAGCCCAUGCAGGCCGCGAGUGGGUGCGUAACCAAAUUAUCUGGAUGGCGUAUUGAGUGGGGCACCCAAUUAAACAUGUCUCAAAUCAGGAAACA
Molecule: long non-coding RNA, 733 nt
Organism: Triticum aestivum (bread wheat)
Lineage: Eukaryota; Viridiplantae; Streptophyta; Magnoliopsida; Poales; Poaceae
Exons: 2
Source: RefSeq, a predicted model, not a curated record